GUGGCGAGGCGGCCUCGCGGGCGGCACGUGCUCGCACUCACCGGCGGGAAGGCCAUCGGCAGCACCGGAGGCGGGCGGGCGGUCCCGGAACGCGGCAAAGGCGAGGUACUUUAUCCUAUUGGCAGAUAUUCCCCCUAUUAUUUCUCCAGGCGACUGACCAGCCCCAGAGCUGGUGUGGAUGGAGAGGCACUCACCCCAUCUCACAGGAGUGAGGCAGCAAGGGAAAAUGGCCAUGGUUCAAGUAGCAGAAUUGGAUAAAGCACCUAAUUAAUGGACAGCAAUUAAUCUUCAGCCCAGAGAGACACUCACUCCAGCCCUCCCUGGGACCCCAACCAUGCUUGGAUCUCAGACCUUCCUGGGGACCCUGCUGCUCUCGUGGAGACCCCAACCCUCAGCAGACAUAGAGAAGACUCCACCUUCUUUCUCCCUAUAAACACUGAUAAAAUCCCGCUGGAAACUCCCUUCUCCCUGCUGAGCUGCCCCAGCUCUUUCAGCUUCCCUUCCUAUGGGAAAUGCUCCAGACCCUUGGUGGCCCUUUGUGGUGUGUCUCCAGUACAUCCCUGUCUCUCUCAUGCUGGACAGCCCGUCACAGCACCCAGCACUUCAGGGGUGCCAGGAUCACUGUGAGUUGGUGACUCACUACCCCUCACUGCAGAUACACUCUACCUCAUCAACUGGACCAGUAGUGAAGAGGCUGAACAGGACUGGACACAGAGUUGACUCAUGGGGUACACCACCAGCCUCAAGCCAGACCUGAUCCAGCCCUUUGACCCAUUUUCAACCCAGCAGUCCACCGAAUAUUCAUUUUUAUGCUCAAAAUUAAAUGCCAGCACUAAAAGAGGCAGAUGUUUGUCUCAGGAGACCAUGGGGAGCAAAGAGCAGCCUCUCCCUUCAAGGUGUGUCAAAGCAGGACAUCACUUGACAGUGCUUUUGAGAAAGUGAGAAAACAACAAAUCAAACAGGGCUGGCACAGGGUUUCCAUGCAAGUGUUUAUUGCCACACAGGAGGAAUGACAAAUCACUGGUGCAGUUCCAGCCCCCAGGCGAGGAUGCUCCAGCCCCAGGAGCACCGUCAGCUCCAUCACUGCAGCGCUGGGGACACCUGGAAGAAAGAAGAGGUUUGGGAGCAAGGUGCCAAGGUGUCCCAGGCAGCACCUGCUCUGGUGGUGUCACCCACCAUGGCAGCAGCGAGGUGGCCCAGCCCCAGGAGGGCGAGGGCGAAGUGGAUGCAGUUGCAGGCGAUGGGGUCGUACUCCACGGGCUGCUCCAUGGCCGCGCGCACCCGGCGCUGCAGGGCAGCCACGUCCAGCCCUCCCUUCCUGCGCAGCACCCGGGCCGGGCCCCGCGCCCGCAGCAGGUGGCUCUUGCCGUGCUUAGCCACGAUGCCUGACGGUGACAUCCCCGAGCUGCCUGCAGGGCAAAGUGGGCUCUGUACCCCAUGUCCCUUCCGUGGAGAUGUUCCUAUGCUGUGACUCCUCCUGGGCUCACCUUCCAGGUGGAUGAUCUCCCCGUCACCACAGUAGAUGCCAGCGUGGGCGCCCCACCAGCCAGGGCCCCCCGAGGCCAGAGGGAAGAGGAAGAGGUCCCCAGGCUGGGGCUCAGCCGCUCCGUUGGGGACCGUGUUGAAGUGUUGUCCUAGCAGCCCCUCGCAGAGGAAGAACCCUGCCGUGGUCACUGCCCCAGUCACUGCCUGGGGACCCAGCCAUGUUUCAGGGCCACUGGCAGCAUCACUGACCUGCUGGCUCAUCCCACAUCCUUGGUGCCUUAAGCACAGCUUGGGUCUAGGGUCUCCAUGGAUGGAAACCCUCUGGGAAGGGGCUGCCUCCUCUAUGUGCUGAAGCACCCGUGGGUGCUGAGGAAAAGGCAGGGUGUGCAGGAUUCAUCCCAGCUGUGCCAGGGGUGAGACAGGCAGUGCAGGGCACAGGGGCAAUGCCAGCACUUACCUGCCUGGAGCUGCUCACCUGGAGGGACAAACACCUUGCAUCAGCCACAGUGGCACCCAUGUCAUGGCUCAGUGCUGGCCUGGGCUGCUGCCACCCCCUGCCCAAGCACCUGGCUGGGAUUCUCACGCCAGCACCCCCAAACCUGCCGCACCGAGGAGCCCAGCCAGUGCCAGGGCUGGAGGAACAGCCAGUCCGGGGCUUGCAGGGUCUGAAGGAAGGAGCUCACCUGUGGGAGAGGGAGCAGGGCAAGACCUGUCCUCUUCUGACACCCAUCCCCUGCCACCAGCCAUCUCUGCCAGCACGUAGCCCAGCCCAGCCCAGCCUCCCAGGCCACUCAUCCUCCUCCCCACCCUGCCCAGACUCAGCACCAGGCAGGUCCCAGCUCUGGGGUCCAGGGGCACUGGGUACAGUGCAGAGGAGUGGGAUCACCUGGAUGCAGGUGUCCUUCCUGCCAGCUCCCCCUUUACCUGGGCGAGGAGAUUCAUCUGCAAGGAGAAAACACGAUGUUCCAGGAGCUGGGGGCAGGUACCCCACACCUCGGGGACUUCUCUGUCCCCACAGUUGUGAUGACAGGUCACCCUGCUGAAACCCAAGCUUCAGCCUCAGUGCUCGUUCUGUGCCCUGCUGCCUCACCUUGGGGUCACCUCCAAGGUCCCCUCAGUCCACUGUGUGUCCCAAGCUGCCGCUGCUCCAAAGGUGGCUGCGGGGCAGGACCUCAGCCCGCCCCAGCAAGCACCACGGUGGCUCUUGGCACCGGCACAUGGCUGCACCAGUGCCUGGGAAUGUGCCCAGACCGGCUGCACCGUGGCACUGUGCCCAUCUUGUAGGGCCAGUCCCAGGGGGACAAACCCAACCUGGUGUGACAUUUCAUCCACAAACCUCUUGAGUGACCCCAAAGGAGUCAUGAAACAGCCCCGUGGCCGCAAUGCCCUGGUAACCUGUGAACACUAGGCUUAUGACAAAUCACCUCUUGGUGCUAAAAUCCUCUGGCCCUGGGUGGCCAUCAGUCUGUAUCCAGCCCCAUGUCAUAGGAAUGGCCACCAGCCUGUCCCCAGCCCUGUCACCCCAGAAUGGUGCAUGCCUGGGGUCAGCUCCAGAGUCGCAUUAAACUUUAAUCCUGGUGCCAGGGGUCAGUGAAGGCUUUAGCAGGGCUCAGGUGAGUGACUGUCACCCUCUGUCAUCGGGCAACCUCCAAAGAAUCAUUUAUCAGGAAGCCUCCAAUAAACAAGAGCUGAAUAAACAGGUGAAACCUG
RNA transcript from Oenanthe melanoleuca, 3195 nucleotides. RefSeq lists it as uncharacterized. NCBI's taxonomy places the organism in Eukaryota, Metazoa, Chordata, Aves, Passeriformes, Muscicapidae. The record is from RefSeq and is a predicted model, not a curated record. The transcript has 2 exons.